Molecule: ribosomal RNA, 538 nt
Filed under: Taenianotus triacanthus
Lineage: Eukaryota; Metazoa; Chordata; Actinopteri; Perciformes; Scorpaenidae
Description: partial 16S large subunit ribosomal RNA
Rfam family: Bacterial large subunit ribosomal RNA (bases 155-538)
Source: RNAcentral
CACCCAGCAGCUAGCCCACAACCUAAUAAUACCAACCACUAUUUUUACCCCCAAAUACACUUCGCAUGUUAACUAAAACAUUUUUCCCCUUUAGUACCGGAGAGAGAAAAAGAGAUCUGAAGCAAUAGAGAAUGUACCGCAAGGGAUCGCUGAAAGAGAGUUGAAAAAGACCAGUUAAGUACAUCAAAGCAGAGUUCAGCCCUCGUACCUUUUGCAUCAUGAUUUAGCGAGUGUGGCCAAGCAAAAAGCCUUUUAGUUUAGUACCCCGAAGCUGAGUGAGCUACCUCAGGACAGCCUAUUCGUAGGGCGAACCCGUCCCUGUGGCAAAAGGGUGGGAAGAUCCUAAGGUAGAGGUGACAGACCUACCGAACUCGGAUAUAGCUGGUUGCCUGGGAAUUGGAUAGGAGUUCAGCCUCACUGCCCCUUGACUAAGUUUCGAAUCCAUACUUAAUAGCACAAGCCUUAUGUGAGAGUUAUUCAGAAGGGGUACAGCCCUUCUGAACUAAGACACAACUUUUAUGGGAGGUCAAUGAUCAUA